UACGUAGGGUGCAAGCGUUGUCCGGAAUUAUUGGGCGUAAAGAGCUCGUAGGCGGUCUGUCGCGUCUGCUGUGAAACUCAGGGCUUAACCCUGAGCUUGCAGUGGGUACGGGCAGACUAGAGUGCGGUAGGGGAGACUGGAAUUCCUGGUGUAGCGGUGAAAUGCGCAGAUAUCAGGAGGAACACCGAUGGCGAAGGCGGCUCUCUGGAACGG
RNAcentral lists this ribosomal RNA (213 nucleotides) under uncultured bacterium. Its description in RNAcentral is "partial 16S ribosomal RNA". It matches the Rfam family "Bacterial small subunit ribosomal RNA", at positions 524 to 737 of the family's 1533-position model. The record is from RNAcentral.